Molecule: long non-coding RNA, 435 nt
Filed under: Carica papaya (papaya)
Lineage: Eukaryota; Viridiplantae; Streptophyta; Magnoliopsida; Brassicales; Caricaceae
Description: long non-coding RNA (CPAP_LNC016463)
Source: RNAcentral
UGAGGGUGAACUGGGGGACCCUGUGGUGGCACCUGCUGAUGUGGUGGGGGUACUGGAAUGUGUUGUGGCGGUGCCUGGUGGUACUGUGGUUGUGGUACCGGGUCGUACCGCGGCUGUGGUGCCAGGUGGUACUGUGGAGGAGCAGGCUCCUGCCGGGGUGGCUCGGGAUCAGCCUGCUGUAGCGGGGGCUCAACCUGCGAUAGCGGAAGAGGUCCGGGUAACUCCCUUCUCUCCUCUCGCCUUUGCUGGGCAGCUACGAGAGCUUCCACCAUCUCAAAUAGUCUGUCUAAAUCCUCCCGAAGCGAAUUAUCUUGGGCCGCUUGGUUUAGUGGGGGCCUUCCUCUCCUCAUUUCCGUGUACCUGCAUUUACAAGGAAUGGUUGAGUAAUGAUAUAUCGGUGAGUAUUUCUCUAAGGCACUAUUGUGUAAGGGAUGG